AUAAAUACGAUGAAGGAGACAGUUUAUAAUUAGAGUUUUAAGAGAGCUGAUGGUUGGUGUAAAUCAGUAACAAAGAUUAUAAUGUAUCACUCUGGAGUAGCCCUUUGAAUUAAGUAGAAGGUGACGUUAAUCGCGUUAAGAUUUCAAGAGCGUAUGAAAAUACGAAUUAAGGUGGUACCGCGAUCACAUCGUCCUUAGG
This 199-nucleotide non-coding RNA is filed under the name Coprobacillus sp. RNAcentral describes it as "T-box sequence". It matches the Rfam family "T-box leader". From Rfam's summary of the family: Uncharged tRNA acts as the effector for transcription antitermination of genes in the T-box leader family. T-boxes are found upstream of many aminoacyl-tRNA synthetase genes and some amino acid biosynthetic genes usually in Gram-positive bacteria. The record is from RNAcentral. Lineage: Bacteria; Bacillati; Bacillota; Erysipelotrichia; Erysipelotrichales; Coprobacillaceae.